GGCAACGCGGCCGCUUGCAGGGCUGCAGGCAGUUAUUUUAAAAGGGCGGUGUGGAGUCACGUGACCGUGCAUCAGGUCACCGUGGCCGUCUUCGGCAGCAGAGUGCGGGCCAGGUCAGGCCGGGCCACUGCAGAGGCAGAGAGAGGUCUCUGGCCACUGGAAGCAGCAGAAUAAAGGCCGGGCCAGAGUGAGGUCUCUGGCCACUGGAGGAGGCGGCAGAGUGAGUGAGGCCAGGCUUGCGGCCGCGUUACUUCAGGCAAACUUAUCCCACUACCACCCUUACUACUCUUCUUAAUGAUGUUCCAAACAGUUGAUUUUGGUAAGCCUAAGAUUCUGCUCAACCCAUUGUGUUCUUCAAGUGGAUUGUUUGUAUCACCAAUGAUGAAUAAUUCUGAUAUUUAGUUGACACUGAUAGUAGCCAAGAGUACAACAGGUUAAAGAAGAGGAGGAUUGUCUCAAACCCAGAUAAGUAGACAGUGCGGUCUGGCAUACACAUGAUUCAACUUCCUUCAUUCUCACUUCCCAAUGGAACUGUGCGUGCGUUCAUCACAUGGACAGCAGCAGUCCAAGCAGUUUGUUCAGCAUCACUUUUGCAGGAACCAUUGCUGAUAGGGAUUAAGUAUUGGUCUUGCCAACAAGACCCAAAACAUAUACAUGAAUAAAAUAAUACAUAUAAUCCUUGGACAAUAUAAUUUAUUGUAAAAUCGUGAUUAAUACUCCUUGAUUUAUUAAAUUAAUUUUAUGACAUUCCUAAAUACCAUAUUCAAUGAAAUGCUACCUUGAAAUCAUAAUCACCUUCGCCUAAAUUUGUAAAUGCUAGUCUUUUGCCAAUGUUUGGACCAAGGCUGUGGUGUGUUAUGGGGCUGAGAGGGCCAGAUUUUCCCAAUGUUGUUGCAACAUGGACAAUUAGACUGAGGUGGAGGUAUAAAUAGUUCAUCCUUAAUUGAAGCCAGUAACACCCAACUAAACUGCAAUGUCUGUCAGAACAACAGGUCAAUAUCAAGUCAAACUUCAAAGUAGCAUUGUAUCAAACAAACCACUUGGUCUUCUAUUUAUGAAACUGUAAUCAUAAAGAAUUCUACAGCUAAAGUGUAAACCAAACAUGAGCAGGGUGUUUUGUUAUUUGCAAGAAAGUUCUUUGAUUUUGUAAUUAUCAGAGGAGGUGUUACAGAACUGAUGUGAUAGAGCUAUCUCUUUGCUGAAGUGGCUCAUCCCAUGCAGUGAAUGUUGAUGCAAUCAGUUAUCUGUUUGUUUUUUGUUUAGAAAGGUUGUGAACAAAACCAGACCAAAUCUGUAUGGUUAUUAAUUUUAGUAGAUAUAAAUUAUUGGUGGAAGAAAGAGGUAGGAAAUGGUGCAAUAGAGAUAAUGGCAUACAAUGGGCAAAUCUCCAGAUAGCCACAAAAUGCUGGAGUAACUCAGUGGGACAGGCUACAUCUCAGGAGAGAAGGAAUGGGUGACAUUUCAAGUAGAGACCCUUCUUCAGACCAGGAUGUGCUGACCUGCGGGGAACAAGAUGUCGCCUGAGGACUUCAAUGGCUGUGAUAUUUCUGACCGCUUUUGCCAAAUAAAUAAAUUGCUUAUUGAAAGAACAUAUAUGAAGUUUGACAGCCAAGGAUUGAGGUAUCAGGCUAAGCACAUGAAAGAAAUAAAAACAAAUGGGAAGACAGGCAAGCAGAGUCAAAUCGAUGAUGAUGUUACCAGGUUUUUGGAUGGA
Amblyraja radiata (thorny skate) is the source of this 1714-nucleotide long non-coding RNA. RefSeq lists it as uncharacterized. The record is from RefSeq and is a predicted model, not a curated record. NCBI's taxonomy places the organism in Eukaryota, Metazoa, Chordata, Chondrichthyes, Rajiformes, Rajidae. The transcript is spliced from 4 exons.